Molecule: transfer RNA, 73 nt
Filed under: archaeon
Lineage: Archaea
Description: tRNA-Asn
Rfam family: tRNA
About the family: Transfer RNA (tRNA) molecules are approximately 80 nucleotides in length. Their secondary structure includes four short double-helical elements and three loops (D, anti-codon, and T loops).
Source: RNAcentral
GCCUCGAUAGCUCAGUAGGUAGAGCACAUGGCUGUUAACCAUGUGGUCGCAGGUUCGAGUCCUGCUCGAGGCG